This 433-nucleotide ribosomal RNA is filed under the name uncultured bacterium. RNAcentral describes it as "partial 16S ribosomal RNA". It matches the Rfam family "Bacterial small subunit ribosomal RNA", at positions 29 to 507 of the family's 1533-position model. The record is from RNAcentral.
AGCGAACGCUGGCGGCAUGCCUAACACAUGCAAGUCGAACGGGUCCUUCGGGAUUAGUGGCGGACGGGUGAGUAACACGUGGGAACGUGCCCUUUGGUUCGGAACAACUCAGGGAAACUUGAGCUAAUACCGGAUGUGCCCUUCGGGGCAAAGAUUUAUCGCCAUUGGAUCGGCCCGCGUUUGAUUAGCUAGUUGGUGAGGUAACGGCCCACCAAGGCGACGAUCAGUAGCUGGUCUGAGAGGAUGAUCAGCCACACUGGGACUGAGACACGGCCCAGACUCCUACGGGAGGCAGCAGUGGGGAAUCUUGCGCAAUGGGCGAAAGCCUGAUGCAGCAAUGCCGCGUGAAUGAUGAAGGUCUUAGGAUUGUAAAGUUCUUUUAGCGGGGACGAUAAUGACGGUACCCGCAGAAGAAGCUCCGGCUAACUUCGUG